Molecule: ribosomal RNA, 126 nt
Filed under: uncultured eukaryote
Lineage: Eukaryota
Description: partial 18S ribosomal RNA
Rfam family: Eukaryotic small subunit ribosomal RNA
Source: RNAcentral
UGGUGGAGUGAUUUGUCUUGAACGAACGAGACCUCGACUUACUAAAUAGUAUCGGGAACACACGUUCCUAGAAACUUCUUAGAGGGACUUUGCCUGUCUAGGGCAAGGAGGUUCGAGGCAAUAACA